This 390-nucleotide ribosomal RNA is filed under the name uncultured bacterium. RNAcentral's name for it is "bacterial SSU rRNA". It matches the Rfam family "Bacterial small subunit ribosomal RNA", at positions 28 to 419 of the family's 1533-position model. The record is from RNAcentral.
GAUGAACGCUAGCGGCAGGCCUAAUACAUGCAAGUCGAACGGUAAGGCCCUUUCGGGGGUACACGAGUGGCGGACGGGUGCGUAACGCGUAUGCAACAUGCCUUCCAGCGGGGGAUAUACCAGGGAAACUUGGCGCAAUACCCCAUAGAAUUACGGGACCGCAUGGUCUUGUGAUUAAAACUCCGGUGCUGGGAGAUUGGCAUGCGUGACAUUAGCUAGUUGGUGAGGUAAAGGCUCACCAAGGCGACGAUCUGUAGCGGGUCUGAGAGGAUGAUCCGCCACACUGGAACUGAGACACGGUCCAGACUCCUACGGGAGGCAGCAGUGGGGAAUUUUGGACAAUGGGCGCAAGCCUGAUCCAGCCAUGCCGCGUGAGUGAAGAAGGCCUUC